RNAcentral lists this long non-coding RNA (872 nucleotides) under Diabrotica virgifera virgifera (western corn rootworm). Its description in RNAcentral is "uncharacterized LOC126879095". Lineage: Eukaryota; Metazoa; Arthropoda; Insecta; Coleoptera; Chrysomelidae. The record is from RNAcentral.
UGCAAUAAUAUGUCAAAUUUAAAGAGUUUCCCAAGAUUAUAAACAUACAAAUGUAAUAAAAAUUAUUGUUCGCGAAUAUUCAAUUUGGAAUGCGAUUUUGUUAAUAAAAAAAAUACUUAUAACUUAUGCAAAACCCAAGAGAGGCAUUUAUAUUUAUUUCUUUUGCGUUCAUUUUCAAAUUCGCCGUGCAUAUAUUUUUGUGCAUGGCGCUUGAGAGGGCAUCACGUGACUAAAAACGACCAACCAACGACCUCGCUUCGGCCAUCUUGGCAUCUUCAUCUUGGCGACCUUGCCUUGCCGUGGAUUGUUUUUAGUUGUUUGUAUUAUUUGUGCUUUUUAAGAAUAUUUUUUUAAUUCGGAUACUUUUAUAAUAGCUUUAUAGUAUUAUUAACAUAGUGCAUAAAAUGGCGUCCUGUUUUUAACGCAGUUGGAGUAGCAGAAACAAAUGUAGAUAAAAAAAUCUGCAGGAAUAACGUUUCAAUUAUGACAGAAGCUCAAAACAAAUGACUGUGAAUGAAAAGCCCUAUUAAAAGCUUUCCAGAAGAUCCUGCGAAGAAGACAUGAAGUAUAGAUCAGAUUUGUUAAUAGAGGAGUAUGUUCAAAACACUUUUUAGAAAAAGAUAUUGACAGAACUUCACUUUCAUCUGUUCGUUUGAGAGACUGUGCUGUUCCAAUAGCUUAUGUCACACAGAAUCAGCUGAGAGAAGUGGUCUACAAAAAACCAGAAAGGAAACGGAAUAUGUGGCUACGAAAAGCAAAAGAAAGGUUUACAAAGCAAAUGUGACACAUUUUUUUAUAAUAUUUAGGAAUGUCAGCAAAUUACAUUAAAAAAUGUAUGUAAAGAUUUUUUGCAAUAAAAAUGUUUAUAUUUA